RNA transcript from Rhodamnia argentea, 1245 nucleotides. It is a transcript of the gene named thioredoxin-like protein CITRX, chloroplastic, with no coding region annotated. The record is from RefSeq and is a predicted model, not a curated record. The transcript has 5 exons. Lineage: Eukaryota; Viridiplantae; Streptophyta; Magnoliopsida; Myrtales; Myrtaceae.
GACAACUGUGAAAGUCUGAAAAACCCCACCAAAAUCCCCAGCUCCUGCUGUGUCUCUACAAAGAUAAAGAUAAUGGGUCUUCUUCAAAUACACUCUCCAAUCGCGAUAUUUCUCAGCAGUCGAGUCUCAUCGUCCCAUUCUAAACCGCCUUGUCUUCCUCGAUUCCAAGAUUCCGCCAAGAAAUUUGGACAAAGUUCGCUUUUUUCGUCUUCUCCGGGAAUCGGAGACGGACCCUUUUCGCUAUCCACUGUGCCCAGAAAGCUGCUCUGCACACCACCUCGAGGGAAGCACGUAAGAGAAGACUAUCUUGUGAAAAAAUUGUCGGCUCAGGAGGUGCAGGAGCUUGUGAGGGGAGAAAGGAGCGUGCCCCUCAUCAUUGAUUUCUACGCGACAUGGUGUGGACCUUGUAUUUUGAUGGCCCAAGAACUUGAAAUGCUUGCAGUGGAGUAUGAGAAUAAUGCCAUAAUUGUGAAAGUUGAUACGGACGAUGAGUAUGACUUUGCCCGAGAUAUGCAGUGUUGUUGAAUGACAAGUGGGAACAGCUCUUCAUUGAAAACCUUGCUUGGUCAUGAUCCUCCUCUUAAGGAACUGCUCCUUUCUCCCCCUUUUUGCAGUACGUGGCCUGCCGACUUUGUACUUCAUCAGUCCAGAUCCCACCAAAGAGGCUAUUCGAACAGAAGGUCUUAUCCCAAUUCAGAUGAUGCGCGAUAUCCUAGACAAUGAAAUGUGAAGGCGUCGGGAAAAUGAAUUGAUAAAAUGUCUUCCACAAUCUAGAGACAGAGCUGCGCCAGCUGCUCCACAUCCGAUGUGCGUUUUUGGUCCGUGAUAUUCUUUUAGUAUGAAGGCAGGUGUAGGCCGUUCAAUGUCAAGUUGGCCAACUUUUGUUGUUAUACUUGAUGAACUAGAUAGUAGACUUAGGAGUUUUGGGCAUUCACCCCGAUGGAAGACAUGGCCCCUGAACAUUGGCUGGUUGUAUUUUGCUUGUGGCCAUUAAGAUCCAUAUAGUAACUGGGGUGGCGACAGUCUUUAAGGUAGUUUAGAUAGUCUAAUAUGCAAUUGGAAGAUUGCUUUUACAUCCCGGCAGAUACCGGAUAAAGCAUCCUCUCUGUUUUGCUCAUUUAUUUCCCCUGCGGAACCCAAAGUAAUUGUUCACGGCUCUUGUUAGAGCACAUUACUUCUAGAUCCGCUUAUUUUGCACCUGAAAUGACUUUCCUGGUUCGAAAUGAGUAGAGAUAAGUUUCUCGA